UACGGAGGGUGCAAGCGUUGUCCGGAUUCAUUGGGUUUAAAGGGUGCGUAGGCGGUUUAUUAAGUCAGUGGUGAAAGUCUGCGGCUCAACCGUAGAAUUGCCACUGAUACUGAUAGACUUGAGUACAGUAUAGGUAGGCGGAAUUUAUGGUGUAGCGGUGAAAUGCAUAGAUACCAUAAAGAACACCGAUAGCGAAGGCAGCUUACUUGACUGUUACUGACGCUGAUGCACGAAAGCGUGGGGAGCGAACAGG
Molecule: unclassified non-coding RNA, 253 nt
Filed under: uncultured Cytophagales bacterium
Lineage: Bacteria; Pseudomonadati; Bacteroidota; Sphingobacteriia; Sphingobacteriales
Description: contains 16S-23S intergenic spacer region
Rfam family: Bacterial small subunit ribosomal RNA
Source: RNAcentral